GGGGGGGUAUCGGAUUACUGGGCGUAAGCGCGCGUAGGCGGUUUGUUAAGUCAGCUGUGAAAGCCCCGGGCUUAACCUGGGAACUGCAGUUGAUACUGGCCGACUAGAGUACGAGAGAGGGAGGUAGAAUUCCAUGUGUAGCGGUGAAAUGCGUAGAUAUAUGGAGGAAUACCGGUGGCGAAGGCGGCCUCCUGGCUCGAUACUGACGCUGAGGUGCGAAAGCGUGGGGAUCAAACAGGAUUAGAUACCCUGGUAGUCCACGCCGUAAACGAUGUCUACUAGCCGUUGGGAGACUUGAUUUCUUAGUGGCGCAGCUAACGCAAUAAGUAGACCGCCUGGGGAGUACGGCCGCAAGGUUAAAACUCAAAUGAAUUGACGGGGGCCCGCACAAGCGGUGGAGCAUGUGGUUUAAUUCGACGCAACGCGAAGAACCUUACCAAGGCUUGACAUGGGACAGACCGUACGAGAGAUCGUGCUUCUCCAGCAAUGGAGCUGUCCACACAGGUGCUGCAUGGCUGUCGUCAGCUCGUGUCGUGAGAUGUUGGGUUAAGUCCCGCAACGAGCGCAACCCCCGUUUCUAGUUGCCAUCAUUCAGUUGGGCCCUCUAGAGAGACUGCCGCGAAUAACGCGGAGGAAGGUGGGGACGACGUCAAGUCAUCAUGGCCCUUACGUCUUGGGCUACACACGUGCUACAAUGGGCGUUACAAAGGGUCGCAAGAGCGCAAGCUGGAGCCAAUCCCCAAAAGCGCCCUCAGUUCAGAUUGAGGUCUGCAACUCGACCUCAUGAAGGUGGAAUCGCUAGUAAUCGCGGAUCAGAACGCCGCGGUGAAUACGUUCCCGGGCCUUGUACACACCGCCCGUCACACCACGAAAGUUGGUAACGCCCGAAGCCGGUGGG
RNAcentral lists this ribosomal RNA (898 nucleotides) under uncultured bacterium. RNAcentral describes it as "bacterial SSU rRNA". It matches the Rfam family "Bacterial small subunit ribosomal RNA", at positions 536 to 1434 of the family's 1533-position model. The record is from RNAcentral.